This 636-nucleotide ribosomal RNA is filed under the name Escherichia coli. RNAcentral's name for it is "bacterial SSU rRNA". It matches the Rfam family "Bacterial small subunit ribosomal RNA", at positions 88 to 720 of the family's 1533-position model. Lineage: Bacteria; Pseudomonadati; Pseudomonadota; Gammaproteobacteria; Enterobacterales; Enterobacteriaceae. The record is from RNAcentral.
CUGACGAGUGGCGGACGGGUGAGUAAUGUCUGGGAAACUGCCUGAUGGAGGGGGAUAACUACUGGAAACGGUAGCUAAUACCGCAUAACGUCGCAAGACCAAAGAGGGGGACCUUCGGGCCUCUUGCCAUCGGAUGUGCCCAGAUGGGAUUAGCUAGUAGGUGGGGUAACGGCUCACCUAGGCGACGAUCCCUAGCUGGUCUGAGAGGAUGACCAGCCACACUGGAACUGAGACACGGUCCAGACUCCUACGGGAGGCAGCAGUGGGGAAUAUUGCACAAUGGGCGCAAGCCUGAUGCAGCCAUGCCGCGUGUAUGAAGAAGGCCUUCGGGUUGUAAAGUACUUUCAGCGGGGAGGAAGGGAGUAAAGUUAAUACCUUUGCUCAUUGACGUUACCCGCAGAAGAAGCACCGGCUAACUCCGUGCCAGCAGCCGCGGUAAUACGGAGGGUGCAAGCGUUAAUCGGAAUUACUGGGCGUAAAGCGCACGCAGGCGGUUUGUUAAGUCAGAUGUGAAAUCCCCGGGCUCAACCUGGGAACUGCAUCUGAUACUGGCAAGCUUGAGUCUCGUAGAGGGGGGUAGAAUUCCAGGUGUAGCGGUGAAAUGCGUAGAGAUCUGGAGGAAUACCGGUGGCGAAG